GCCAGGUGUGGUGGCGUAUGCCUGUAAUCUCAGCUACUCAGGAGGCUGAGGCAGGAGAAUCGCUUGAACCCAGGAGGCAGAGGUUGCAGUGAGCCAAGAUUGCGCCACUGCGCUCCAGCCUGGGUGACAGAGUGAAACUCUGCCUCAA
Molecule: non-coding RNA, 148 nt
Filed under: Chlorocebus sabaeus (green monkey)
Lineage: Eukaryota; Metazoa; Chordata; Mammalia; Primates; Cercopithecidae
Source: Rfam by way of RNAcentral